ACGUAGGGGGCAAGCGUUAUCCGGAUUUACUGGGUGUAAAGGGAGCGUAGACGGACGGGCAAGUCUGAAGUGAAAGGCAGGGGCUUAACCCCUGGACUGCUUUGGAAACUGUCCAUCUAGAGUGCCGGAGAGGUAAGCGGAAUUCCUAGUGUAGCGGUGAAAUGCGUAGAUAUUAGGAGGAACACCAGUGGCGAAGGCGGCUUACUGGACGGUAACUGACGUUGAGGCUCGAAAGCGUGGGGAGCAAACAG
This 251-nucleotide ribosomal RNA is filed under the name uncultured bacterium. RNAcentral's name for it is "partial 16S ribosomal RNA". It matches the Rfam family "Bacterial small subunit ribosomal RNA", at positions 525 to 775 of the family's 1533-position model. The record is from RNAcentral.